Molecule: long non-coding RNA, 5856 nt
Organism: Oxyura jamaicensis (ruddy duck)
Lineage: Eukaryota; Metazoa; Chordata; Aves; Anseriformes; Anatidae
Exons: 2
Source: RefSeq, a predicted model, not a curated record
UCAUGAAAAAAUUCAGCCAAGUCACAAAUGAGUAAAAAGCCAUAUGGAAAUGAUAGGCAGUGUUAAUCAGCCAUUCCAGCAGGGGAGUCUAAACAUCCAUUUAAAUCAUGAUGUAACAAAGCUGUGCUCUUACCUUUACGCUUUCCCUCUUUAUUCAUAUAAGUUCCCCCCUUUUCUUGUGUACAUUUGUUUUAUUUCAGAUCUUGUAUAACAGCUUUAAAUGGUGGCUAUUAUCUCUCCACUCUUUUCUAGUAGUAAAAUUUCUGAUAUCCCCACAAAUUGAUAUUUUCUGCCAAAUUAGAGACGUCUGUCGUAAUUUCUUUUAUUGGCUGAAGAUCACAUGUGGCCAACUCCAAUAGCUUUACAAAUAGUUCUGAGGGAUUUGAUUUGGACUUACUUCAACAGGUGCUAUUGUGUUUCCUAUCUUGCAUUUAUUAAUUUCCUGGUCAAGUUUUGAAACUGUUGACUAGGUGACCUUGCUGUAGCCCUAUUAAGGAGUCAGUUCUGCUGCACAGUACCCAGAAGUCCCUAACUUUUAACUGAGGGUAGCUACAUGGUGUAUUGUAGGUAGAAUAGCAUCUUAGCUCUUAGCUUGAAAUAAUGAACAGAUAUGAGCCCUACAACAAUGUGAUGCCAUUUUGGCAUGUUAAUGUGUGUCAAUAGCAAGCACAAUUUUUCACAUCAGUUUGCAUGUUUUCUCUUUAAGAUUACAGUAAGAGUUGAAGUUUUGUUCUUUAUAUAAGGAAAUAAGUAUCAGAGAUGUUCAAACUUACUUCACUGUUUUGGGAGCUAAUUUCAAAGUGUUCCUGUGCUACCUUUAUCAUUAAAUGAUUUUUAAAUUAUUAUUCUCUGCUGAGAUUACAAAUUAGCAUUCAGAUGAAUUCCUGGCUAGAUAUUUCCAAACAUUUUCCAUUCACAUUGAGUAGAAACCUGUUUUGUCCAGCCUGUAAAAUGCAUUGUAAUUUGUAGAUGCUUCCAAAUGUAACUAGUUGCACUCUUGUUUUCAUUAAAACACAUACAAAUUAUCCCUUGCUUUCUCUAGGUGAGACUGAGAGCAAAAAGCUUCAGCUCACAGGGCUGAAUCUGCAUCCCUUAUGGACCCACAAAGAAUGCAAAAAUCACCAGGGAUUUAGCAUGAUUGCAAAGGUCAGGAGUUGAACUUCUGUAGGCCAAGUUCUGCUUUGGGUUACAGUGAUGUCUCACUCUGGUAUUGAACUGAAGUCACUAUUUUACAGCACUGUAACACAGUAGAUUAUAAAAGUCUCUUUCAUAUUUUUGCCCAUAAUUUGUCUGUAAGGCAAAAGAAAGUUCUUGGGAGUCACUGUUUGAAAGGGAACAGUAUAUGACCUGUGCCAUUUCAGUGCUUUGAGAAAUCCAAAUACAAUAGUAACUAGCUUGAAUCAUCUUCAUGUGUUGAAUAAAUACCUGCUUGUAGCAGAAUCAAAGUAUUUUCUCUACAUCAGCAAGUCCAGAUUCUGUAUGUGUUCUGCCCAGGCAGGAUGACUAUUUAGCCAUAAUGUUCUUUCAAGUUAGAGUUUUGUAUUACAGUGAAAACCAACAUUUUUUUAAUUUGUGAUAAACCUGUAUUAUAAUGCCUUAUUUAUUUUUAAUCUUGUACAGUGUUACAAAACAACAGAAAACAUUGGCCUUUCAUGUACUAUUCACUUUAAAAGAUGUAUUGUGUGAAAUUUUGUAAAUAGUUUUAGCUUUGACAGGUAAUUGCAUGUAUACUUGUAUAAAAAGAGGCAAAAAGGCACACUUUUAACAAAUUUUUGUAACAGACAUUUUACAUGUGCAUGGAGAUUAUAAAUCCUUUGGAAAUUGAUGUCCUUUUGGUUUUCCUUGCAAUAUACUGCAUGCCACUCAUGCCUGACUUCAGUUAAAAAAAAAAGAUAAAAAAAAGAAAAGAAAAAAAAAAAGUAAAAAACAGUACAUUUUACUAAAUAUUUUUGACAUAUCACUUCUGGCACAAAGUUAAACCCACUAGUUGCAUGUGUGUUCAGCAAAGCAAAAUCAAAAUGCAAACAGCAAAAUAAGAAGAAAAAUAAUGUAAUGAUUGUGAUCUGCCAACCUCAGUGUUUCAAGUUCCAUAAUACAGUAUAUGAAAUGUGUUAUCAACAUCUAUGCUGUUUUUAUGAAGUACCUUAUGGUCAUUAGAAGCAAUAAACUCUACUUACUGUAAUACAAAAACCAAGCAGAUAUUCUAGUUCAUAAUGAUGUAAUAUCUGACAUUCAGUGGGUACUCUGUGAUACUGCAUUUGAUGUAGUAUUGUCAUCAUGCAGGACCAAGUGUCAAAUACAUUAUUGCUGUAUGCAGGUGCAACACUAUGGAAGGUAAAGGGGGUGAAUUGGCCCAUUGAUGUUACCCAGAGUAAAUUUAAGGUAUUAAGUUAUUGUAUGUGGAAAGUACACAAUGUGAAUAGAUUAUUUUACUAGAUACAUACAUAUGUAUAUAUAUAUAUGUAUGUAUAUAUAUAAAAUCAUUUUGUUGCCUUAUUUUUGUUAAAAAUGUUUUUAGCCAUUUUCCAAAAAAACUUCUAUUGCUAAGCAUAAAAUAUUGAACAGAACUAUUAGGAGAAGGUUCACUGGGUAGUCUGGCUUUGAGCUGCCUGGGUUCUCCUGUGCUGAUGCAACUCCUGCUCUUACUGAAGCCAUGCUUACAGGGAUGAAUGCCUUAGAUAUUACAGCCUGGCUCACAUUUUGAGCCCCCUGUCUGGUAGUGGCAUAAGAUCAAUAAAUCAGUAGCCAGUCCUCUUAACUGAUUUUUCAUAUUGCUGCUAAAACAAACUUUAAAUUUUGGAAAUAUUCGGCAUUCACCAUUUUUAAAGUUGUUAUAUCUAUGGUACUACAGUUAGGGACUACUUGAAUUACUUACAAAAGCGCUGUAUGAUAAAUCAGGAGUAUUGUAGGAGCAUAACACUGAGGUUGGUGGCAGAGAAAAACGGGGAUGGACUGUGAAUACUUUCUAUUAUGGAUUAACAAGGACUUGUAUUUUACAGAUUGGAGCUAGCUUUAUAAUAGGGCUGAGGAAUCUGUUGGUUUGUUUGAUUAAUCAGGUGAUUGUGGGGUUAACUAAGCAGUACACUUUCUGCAAGCAAUUCUGUCAGACUGUAGAUUCAUACAUCAUAUCCCAGUUUGCAUGUAAGAACAACUACCUUGUAUUGAUGAUUGGCUUCAUACAGCAGUUAAGGGUUUCUAACAGUCAUAAACUAACUCAUCUCAAAUUCAGUGGAUUUUACAUCUCAGCAUAAUUGUUGUGACUAAUGACAAUCUGGACUCUGCUUCUCUACCCCAACCCUGUUGAUGAUUGGCUUUUUUCCAUAACUCCGUAUAGACUUUUAUUUAUUUAUUUAUUCCUCUUCAUUCUUUUUAAUGCCAUCUCUCACAGAGUUUUCAGGCCACUCACUUCUGAGCAAAAUUAAAUAAUGAAUAAAUAAGUAAAUCUAAAUAAAUGGAAAAAUGAGUAAAGGUUAGGUGGGGCCUGCCUAUCACUCUUUAAUUAUACUUCAAAAUGUCAAACUGCUUGGACGGCCUGGGGUGAUCUGUAAUCUGACAAAUGCAAGGGCAUAAAGAGGAAAAGAAAAAAAGCAAAGAGUUAGCAGGUGUCUGUUCACAUUCACAAGAGUGUUCAAGAUCUCUUGUUGAACUGCUUUAAAAUUUCCAGAAAAAAUCAUUAGAAAUAGUUGGUUGUUACCUUAUAUGCCUAUUUUCUAAUCAUGAGGAAGCACUUUGAAAUCUGAAUUAGCAUUGGUUAAUAUACAUAGCCAAUGUGCUGAAGGGACUAGUUUUUACUUGUGCCUUACUGCAUGCUAGAGGAUCUGUUUCUUUAUACUGGGAUUCCAUGUUUUAUGCCUAUAGUGGCAUCAGACGUGUCACACCAGCAUAAGACUGCAGGAACAAACAGUGCUGUGCAUCACUGUGAACCUUUUUUAUUACUUUCUUUCCUACUUUGGUUUACUACCAGCACAGCUAUGCCAGCGUAAGGAGUGAUGCAAGCGUUUAUAAAUGAAGGCCAUAGACAGGUAUAUGAGAGUCAAAUAAAGAAAAGAUUUUCUAGAAAGUUCAGUGUAUACGCUGAUCUGAGUUUUGCAGAAUAUCUGGCCAGAUAGCUUGGAGCUCCUUUGGAAAAGCUGCCUGCCCUCCUCUUCAGAACACGCUUGCACAACAUGCUGAUUAAAUAUAUCCAGUACACUUACCUAUAGCUUGUAACUGCACUGCCACAUUUGCUAUAGUUAGACAGUCUUCAUUGCAGGCAAGGCUGAGGUGUAUUUUAAUUACCAAGAUUCUGUACGUAAGUACAGAUUGUGUCUUACUGUUCAAGUGCCUGAUCUGCUACUUUUAUUCCAGACCUGUCAAUGAUGACCUCAGUUACGACAAUUUUGAGUUGGCACAUUGAAGUCCUUUAGGUGAUUUCUCACUUCUUUUACUCUUUAGGGUGCAUGGGUGCAACGGUUGUCUAUUCUUACAUUUCAAAUGCCACUCAAGUGAUGUAUCAAGCAUUUUCAAUGAAAUGUAGAUGAAAAUGAACUACUUGUGCCAUCACAACAUUGUUUAAUGAUAAUUGCAUUUCUAAAGAAUUACAAUAUAUAUCCUUUCUCCUUUUAUUUUAUAGUAGUUCAAUUAGUAGUUAAUUCAAUUAAGAAAAAAGAAGUAAAGUGCUUAUGUUAAUUGCUCCAUUUACAUUUGCAUAUUAGUGUUCAAAUUUGGACUUACACAAAGCAAGUUUCUGUUUUGUGUUCAAGCACCUGAUUAUUACACAGAGGUAGAUUUGGACAAUGUUAUGGAAUACAUUAAAAACUAAAGUAAGGCUUUAAGACUUUCCACUCAGAAAAGCAGAGUCCAUGAGCAGUUACUGUUUCUGGAGUAAUUUAACCCAAUUCAGAGAAUUCUAGAACUUCAUAAUUUCAGCAAUUUCAGCUAAAUUUGACCCAUCUCUCAAAAUCCCUGCCACUAAAACCCAUACUGCAAUUUACAUCUGUCCAGAUUUAAUCUUAUUGGUUAGUCCUUCUACUCUGCUGUCUAGAGGUGAAUUUUAGUCUUUCUGGUAUAUGUCCAUAGUUUCUGCUUGGAAAUGAGAUGUUAAGUAUUUUUCUGAUCUGUUAAUUGGAAAGAUAAACAAGUGUAUGUUUCCUUCUUUUUAUAAUUAAAUGUCCAGCAGCCUAAGGCAGGAAGCAAAAACAGACAUGAAGCAUGUAUCUACGAUCAAUAUUGGUCUGCCUACACAUGAAGACACAGUGUCCGUUGUAGGCUUAUCCAUAAUUUUAGGCAUCCUAGAAAUACUUAAACAGAAUAAAUAUCAUAGCAAUAAGAGAAAAAGGAGUUAGGCAAGCCUGCCUGCCUAACACCACACAGUUCUUAGUUCUUUGGAAGUAAAAAAUGGACUUCCUGCUCAUAAUCACUGCACCACUUUUACGAAAUCAGUAUGACCCUCCUGCACUUAGCUCACUCUCAGUUGUUCACCUCCAUCACAUUUUUAUUGCGGUUGGUUACUGCUUUUUUUCUUCCUCUGUAUGUCCUCCAUCACAUGGUUGCCAACCUUUUUAUUUUUUUAAAAAAGAAGUGUUUUCAAAUAUUAGGUGUUAAAGGGAAUAGAAAUAGCUUAACAAAAUAUUGUUAGGAAGUGGCUGCAUGUGACCAUAAACCCAAGAGGGUGGAUAAAUGAACCCUGUGGUGGGAAUGCAGACUCCAGCAGCUGGCAACACUCUGAAAAGUAAGGCUGAAUCCUGCCAGCUGCAGAGAUACAGUUAAACAGGAAUCUGGUAGCCUGAUUCAUGAUGUCACAUUUAAAAAAUAAGUGCAAACCCAUUUCAAGGGUGGUUGUGUAGUUUGUGUCUGGAGUUAUUACUGUAUUAAAAA